CAUAAAGAUUUAGAGCGGGUCAACCAGGUCAUUACAUCUUAAUAACAAGCAUUACUGUAGAAUGAUUGUGUGUAGAUACCCGUUAGCCAUUAGGGUGUGUUUUUUUAACCCAUUGUGUGCGUGGGUAGGAUUAGAAAGGUGAACUGUUCAGAAAUUGUCUGAACUGAUUGUGGCGACGAGUGCUGCUCUGGCAUUCAUCCAGGAACUAUUAGCAGGAGCGGCACCGCCCAUCUAACAUGAGCAUAGGUGCUUCAUAACAAACAUUACUAGCAUGUUCAACUGCAUAAUGUUCUGGCACUGUAUUUUGAAUGAUAUUAAUUUAUUAAAUACAUGUAUAUAUCCAAAAUAAAAAAAUAAAAA
Long non-coding RNA from Pipistrellus kuhlii (Kuhl's pipistrelle), 360 nucleotides. RefSeq lists it as uncharacterized. Lineage: Eukaryota; Metazoa; Chordata; Mammalia; Chiroptera; Vespertilionidae. The record is from RefSeq and is a predicted model, not a curated record. The transcript is spliced from 2 exons.